Betta splendens (Siamese fighting fish) is the source of this 7437-nucleotide long non-coding RNA. RefSeq lists it as uncharacterized. The transcript has 7 exons. The record is from RefSeq and is a predicted model, not a curated record. NCBI's taxonomy places the organism in Eukaryota, Metazoa, Chordata, Actinopteri, Anabantiformes, Osphronemidae.
UUAUCGUCGCUUCCCGCGCCAUUCAGCGUGCACGCGCAGGACGGGCAGGCACGUAACCGCUUGGAGACUGUCUGGAGUCUGUCUGAAUUCUAUAAAAUUGAAGAUGGAGUUUUACUUCUCUUUGCUCGUGUACAAAGAAACCGCCCGUUGGAAGUGGGGAUGUUUUUUUGCUCUCCUCCUCAAACGCCUUCGCCCACGGGUGGCAACGCUCAGACAACAUAUUUUUUUAGAUAAAUGCUGCUGAAAGUUUUUUUCCUCCUGCAGUGUGUCAGCAGACAGCUCUUUAUGCACAGGCAGGAGCUCCGCCGACAGCUCUAGAGUUCAGGAGGAGUGCACCAUCAUGAAGCAUGGACGAGCCCAGAAAGGCCUGUCCCAAACCUGAUCCAGUGUCUGACAAAAAUGAAUGGAAUUGCAAUUAAAAAGAGGACGUUCAUAGUUUCUUGCCUGUCAUGCCUUGAUGUCUUUGACGCUGGUGUGUGUCUACCUAAAUGGUCUGCUUGCCACUAACAACUCCAUUGCCAAGCCUUCCACAUCCCAACUGCAGUGUGGAGAAUUUUAAGUGUAGUGAGAGGGUGGUGGUGGUGGAAGAGGAGGAAGAUGUCAUGCUAAGGAUGGGUUUUGGUGAUGAUGUUGCUGCUGUUGAUGCAGUAUCGAGCUCUCACUUUGUGCCUCUGUCAGCUAUGAUGCGUAACCACAAAGUGAGUGACAGGCCGGUCCCCGGGGAGAGCAGGGGGCCUGAGGAUUGUCUAACACGUCACCAGCGCUCGGUACUAUGGAGUACUACAAAAGCUGACGCGCAGAAGGAGGAUUUGUGAAUGGACGCCGUGAUGUGUGCCAGCUCACAGAUCACAGGGCGGUGGGACCUCUGCAGAUGCACCGUGAGCCUCCUUACACCCCACCCAACCCCGCACCCCUCCCUCUCCCGGUCACCAUCCCUCCCUCCAGAUGAAUGGGGUCUCUAAGAUAUCAGCUCUGUCACCAUGCAGGGGUCAGACCAAAUCCUCCAGCUUCCUGUGCCUUUCAAAAUCUGAAAGCCCGUCUCUCCUAUUUGAUGAUCCUGUAUGAUUUUUUUUGUUGCGCCUUUGUGGACCGCGCUGUGUUUUUUUCACCCUGGGUCAGCCGAGAGCAUGGCAGACGAAUUAGAAAAGAUUAGAAGCGGGACUAAUUGCGUGUAGCCAACGCUGCAAGAAAGUCAGUCUAGAAAUGCAAAUAAUCCAAAAUAAAUGUCCCCUAUGUGAGGAGGGAGUCCACCUGUUUCUAAUGACCCACUGUUUCCCAAGAAUGUUGGGAAACAAGCGGACGCCAGAGCCGCGGCGGCGCAAGAAUUGGACAAAUGACAGACAAAGUCUGGACCGAAACGAAUACAAUUAUUUUAUUUUGCCCAUUACAUUAAAAUAUUUAGUGAUCAAAUCUGGGUGAAUUAGCUCACAAAGAUGAUUUGACUCAAACUCUGCAUAUUCUUUCACAAACUCAAAUUUGCGCAAUACUUACAAGAAACCCCGUUUGCGCCGAAUGCGUUUGUUUUUGCUCCUGUUGUGGCUACACUGUUACACAGGCUAUAGCGCUGCGCGCCCCGCUUUUUAUGCGUCAUACAUCUCACCAUGAUGUCUAUAUAAUUUUCCCGCGGUGUGAACGUGUUUACAGAGGAAUCCUCAGGAGUCGCCUCGCUGCGGACUUUGAGGCUGCCGAAUCUUUUGGUUUCAACCCUUUAUACGUAUUAAUAACUCUUAAUCCGUCUGAUCGGUCUGGCGUAGAUAAGUCUCAUUUGAAUUGGGAUUGUUCUUAAGGAGCGGCUCGUAUUUCUUCACAGAAGUCUCUAACAGAGCUUAACACAAACAACUGCACCACCCUGAGCGCAAUUAAGGCCUCGGUUAAAUUGGAUGAAGGCUAAUUGAAUGAAAGUGAGUUCCCAUCAGAAAAGUCCUGAAUGCUCCACUAAUACGGGGAAAACGUUUACUGAAUAGAGUCGUUUAUUUUUCAAGUUAAAUAAAUGUUUCUUAAGAUGACAAGUAACUAAUAAGCUACCAAAACAAUAUCACGUUGCAACGUUUAGAGAGGAAAAUUGUUUAAAAGUGAGUUAAUUUAAGUUUAAGUUAACUUUAAUUUAAGUAAAAUUUUGAAUAAUCAGAUUUAGUAUUUUCUCUAUCUUUAUUUUUGUUCUUGCAAAACGUUCAGUGCAUGAAAAAUGUAGUUUUAUUAAUGAAACUAGUUUUAGUGUUUACGUCCUGAAAAACUUUUAGCAUUUAACGAGCCUGUUCUGUUCACAUUGUCAAAUAUGGAGCAUUUGUGGCGGGUUCGCUCGUGCAGAUUUGACUAAAAACGUAAAUACCCAGAAAUAAAUGUACAAAUAAUUUUAGCGAACUAAAAAGUCAGAAUGGACGCUAUAAAUAUAUAAGUAUACUAUACUUAUAUGUAAUUCUACUAUACUAUAUAAGUAUAAAACUACAUCUACUGGUACUUAGAAACUUUUCACUGAAUUAUUACUCAUUCUGAUACAAGUUGUUAAAGGAAAAGUUAAAUUAAGGGAAGUAAUUGUCCUGCACCUUCUGCUCAGGUUUUGUACAACCAAGUUUUUCUGCCCUAUUUUUUUGUAAGAUGACGCAGUUCGCUCAGAAAAGCUGAUGUAGUUGUACUGACGCAGGCAAAUAAAUGGCGUUUAACUCAACUGGUGUCAGGCUGCUGUAGUUUUCCGGCUCGACUUUUCACGUGUGCCGACGUCUUACUUGUGACAGCAAAAACGAACUACACGUGGUGGCUAUUUCCGUAAGGUUAAUGGGUUUACAUUCUCAGUCAUACAGAACAAAUAGGCUGCCAGGCCGACACGGGAGGGAGCUGGGGGGUCCGGAGGGAAGAGCGGGGGCCGUGUAUGAAUGCAAGCACCGCUAAACAAGGAGCUCAAAGAAAAGCCAAGUGGAAGGUAAAAUGCACCAGCAGCAGCAGCAGCAGCGGUGCUCCUCAUAUGCAGUGACCCAUGAUCAAUGAGCCCAGCUCUGCGUUCGGUCCUCCACGGGAACCCACAAGAUGCUUCACAGGUUUCGGAUCGCCCUCGUGCCUGGUGCACCUGUCUGGUUUUUACAAGCAGGGAGGAACAAGUGGGAGAGAGAGGGAGAGACAGCUGGAGAGCACGUGAUGCAGAAUAAAGUCAUACUCGUGCUCGGAGCAAUGGCGAACAACAACUAAUUCUAGAAGUGGGGGGAGUGAGUUUAAGGAACCCAUUGAACGUUGUGCGUCAAAGCGAGGGCUCGCGUCAUUUGGAGUAAGCCCCCACCGUCUCUCUCCAUUUUACGCGUUCACAUCUUCGCUGCGUCUAAAAGCGAGAAACAAUUUCUGUUAUGUCUGUGGGUCCAGCUUGCAACUUUAAUUAUAGUGGAGGGAGGUCGGUCAUAAGCGGCCACUCGACCCCUCUCCCUGUGUGGCAUCGCGCCCUGUGCCGUUCAGCCAAAAUAGUGCCGGACUCCCCUGAAAGCGCCAUGUGCGACGUGGUCCCUUUCACCCCCGCGUGCACCUGAGUUGUUUUUACCCCCCAGCCGCAGAUAUGUUGUGAAUUUGUCACUUAUCGGGGGCGCGCUGUCAAAGGCCAGUGCAGGAGCAAUAACUUUCCCAGAUGGUUCUAGCCUGCCAACGUUGUGCGCCUCUCAGCAGCGAGAUGAAUAGGCUGCAUCCCAGAAAUGUCUCGUACGCCUACUAAUGAAGACUAAUUAAAACAUAACAAACAUGGACUUUUAGUGCAUCCUAAGUAGGGCUGCGAGCGUAAUUCGGAUUAUGCAGCUCAAGUCCUUAUGCUUAUAGAUGUGUUUAUUUACACGGCAAAGGAUUUGCGUGAUUUGAUGUCUGUGGAGCCUCACAACAGGUGUCCAGAGGUGCUCAGCAUGGAAACGUGGAGUUACAGUGGACAGAAUUAUAUAGUAGACAUUUCAUUCAAACACUUAUACCACCUUGUCUACAGAUUCAAAUCAGUGAGGCUGCAUGUUGAGCUAUAUAAAACUAGGAACCCAGAGCAGAUAUCGGUGUAAAUUCUUGGCCGCUCCCUUUAUUGUGAGUUGUUCAUAAGAUGCCGACUUUUUGUCGUCUGCCUCAGAGGAGGGAUCAUGAAAUGGAAAUGCAUGCACCUUGAUUUAUUCCAUUAGCUUUAUUCAGUUGUUGUUAUUAUUACCCCGGUUGAUUUCAGAGUCUGAUCGGGCCUGCGAGAUGCACUGGGUGUGUUUAAUUUACACUGGGAAGGAUUUGUUUGGAUGGCAUGCAUAAUGUGCCAUCACCUGAGGUUUAGCUGUCAUUUUAUUAUUGUCCUGUGGAGGAAGAAGAGUCAACAGGAACGGCACACAAGGCUGAGCAUGCUGACUGAAGUGAUGAACCCCACUGAGCCGUGGACUGGUGUUUACACUGUUUAGAAUGAUUAUGUCUCUUUAGUGCAUUCAUUGUUUUUCUUUCAUUUCCUUGAUUGUCCUGCGAUUUCUCAGCGCUCCGGAGGACUGGCCCCCAAAAAAGCCACUUAAAUGCACGGAUAAAGGAAAAGUGUGAGUGGAUCAUUUUCAGACGGGGACACAAAAAGGCGGCAGACGGCGGCGUGAGACUGCCAUUUGAAUGGGAUCUGAGAAGUAAUUUGAGCUAAAAUGGAGUCCACUUCUGAGCCACUCACUCAGGCCCCCAUGGCAUCCACUGUAAUUCAUUAUUCCUGGCCGGCACAAAGAGAGGCAAUGAGGGAAAGCAGAGGACAGGAGUGGACCCAGCUCUGGUGUAAUGAAGACUCAGUAGACCUAAACGACUUCCACACACACACACACACACACACACACACACACACACACACACACACACACACACACACUCGCUCACUAUCUUUCAUUAUAUAUCAGGACAUUAAUGCCACUGAAGACCUUUUGGCAGAGAAGAAGAGGGUGCAGUGAUUUUCUCCGCACUCCAGUCCAUUUCAUUGACCUUUUCUAUCAUGCAUGUGACUCUCGGCUCACUGAGAUAAAUAUUCCACGAAUAAUAUUCCUUGCCUCUGUUUAAUAAAUCACCCCCGGAUCUGCAUUUAUAUCUGCAUCAGUAGUUUUGAGAAGCUGUAGGAACAUCUGUAGUUUUAAACACCCACUCUCCACGUUUGCAUAGCUGUGUGUGUUUCCGAUCAGUAGAGCUCCUGUCUGUGCUUUGUCUUUGGCGAUUUCUUAGGUAUUAUAUUAUAUACCUUCGUGAGGUAGUUAAAUAAAUAGGUUAAACCUUUUUGCAGUGUAGGAUCAGGAAGGAUGCUGCUGUUCCGCGUCUCGCCAGUAGGGGUCCACAUGUGGUCAUGGUAAUAACGUCCACACUACUCAGAAGAUAAAUACUGUCAUCUGGUGGUAACAAAAGCCAUCACUACUAAGUAGACAGGGUGGUGAUCUCAUCGUCACCUGCAUGACUUCCUCCUGCAGAAUAAGCGCUUGAUGAUGUCUCCUCGCUCAUCUGUUCGUCCUCAUGUUCCUCCGCCGCCUUAAUCCACGUUUUACUUUUCAACAUGGGUUUAGCAACGGAGUAUGAGCAUUUAUCAAAGCAGUUGUCAGGAUGUCUGUGUAACAGCACCGGUGUGUGUUACAGGCAGAGUAAAGUGACAGGAGCUUCCUCAGAGAAGCUUCUUUUUCCUCCACAGACUCAUGUUCAGAUACAGACCGACUAUGGACAGGCCUGAGUACACUAAGGUGGCUCAGUGGCUCCCAAUUUAAGGGUCUGAUUUACAUGUUGAAUCAGAAUAAUUACAGAUGAUGAAUGGGGAAUGAUGACAGGAGAAAUGCACAUUAAACAUGUGCUCGUACAGAAUAUUAGAUAUAUUUCAGUUGUUUUGGUCUCAAACUGUUGUUUAAAUGAAAUAAGACGGUCAGAGGUUAAACGUGUCUUGUUGUGGAAUCUAAUAACAUGGUGCCUUGCAGAAAAUCCAAAAUAAACAAGCAACAUCAGAUUAAUCAUUUACAAUGUGGGUAUUUUGUAAGCUUAACAUUUAAUGGGCAGUAUCCAAGUCGGAAAGGUCAAAUGAAUGCAGUGCAGCCAAACAAACACCCUGUGAGUACACAUACCUACGACCAGUACCACAGAAACUGGCACAUCUUUUAUUGUAUUACACUAUUUUAUCAUCAUAUUAUAGGAUAACAGUUUGAAGAGCUAACAUAAAAUGUGCCUGUUUGACUGCAGAGCUGAGGUAUUCUCACAUUACUGCCUUCAUGUUUACUGGCAGUUGACACACUGCAUCAAAUUAGAGGCCUAGUUUCAGAAAUUCUAAAGUCACAAAGGUGCUGCGAGGAGAUGAAAUUGAACCGUCUAGCAGGCCAGCAUAUAGGAGGUGCAAAUCAAUACAUCAGGCUGUCUUCUUGCCUUGAAGGGAGGACACAGAGUGGGAGGAAGUGGAAGGGGGGGGGUCUUUUGGCAAUAAGAAUGUGCUUUAAUGGAGUCUUUCAGUUUACUGUGGCUGGAAAUGAAAGGAAGUUGAAGCACAGCCAAUUAUCCUGCCCAAGAAGAGAAGGCUGAAAAAGGAGGGAUGUGGCGUGUGGCACUGGGUCAUUGACCUGUCAAACAGAUAUUUACACGGAUAGACACAUAGAUAGCAACAAUAUAUACUCAUAUGUGUAUAUGGACAGCUAGAAACGGAGCAGAUGCAGAGCAAGCGUCCCAGAAUGAGGGUCUGAUUUAGAAUAGCCCACAGAUAUUGGCCCCACUCCCAGAAAUUUCCCCCCAGUGCAAAAGGUUAACUGUCAGUCCCCCGCUAGGUAUAAAUAGAAGUCUGCCCUCCAGAAAGGCAUGUUCAGAGAGGGGGUCGACAGAGGAGGGAACUGGGCCAGUUCCUCCUGAUCCCUGCGGCACAGCAGCGGGGGCAGUUUGGAGGAUUUUUGUCGGGAGGGACGGGUGGGAUGGGGUGGGGUCUUCUGGAGGAGGGCGAGAGAGGGAAGAUGCAGCCAAAGACAUUCUAAUGGCUCCGGAGACUGACAGAGCGCCCAGACAAAAGGGUGCCCUCAUCUAUUCAACUUGACCGUGACAGCAGACACAACAAAUGCCAUCAUGGGCACCCCAGAAGGCUCCGGUCUGAUCGAGGUGCCGCUGCCAUUGUUUGGUGGCUGAAAUGCUGCUACCAUCAGUAAUCGGCUGCAAAACGUGUGACUGGAUAAGUUAAUGUUGUUUGUUGUUCAGGUUUAUAUCACUGGUAGCGAAACCUUCCUUUAAUUUCCUACCAGUGAGAAAGGCGCUAUCACUUUUCCAGAACUAUACAUAUAAUUCAUGCUUUACCAAACCAGUGUAAAAGCUCUUGAGCCAGACAACAACAUGAACAAAGAUUACGCAGAUUUAUUUAUCACGUAGUUUUAUUUUUCACUUGGAUCCAAGGUAGCAAAAAAAGAGAUACACAGCUAAAAUAUCAGAGAAACAAAACUAUAACACGUCAAAAAAAAAAAAAGGUGCGUCACCGUCUCAAAAAAUAAA